CCCCUAGAUGUUCUGGGCCGCACGCGCGCUACACUGAACAGUUCAACAAGUCUUAACCUUGGCCGAUAGGUCUGGGUAAUCUUUGAACGUGAAUCGUGAUGGGGAUAGAUGAUUGCAAUUAUUCAUCUUCAACGAGGAAUUCCUAGUAAACGCAAGUCAUCAGCUUGCAUUGAUUACGUCCCUGCCCUUUGUACACACCGCCCGUCGCACCUACCGAUUGAAUGGUCCGGUGAAAUCUUCGGAUCUGAGAGAUGUCUGAUUAAUUUCGGACGCCUUUUGGAAAAGUUGCUUAAACCUUAUCAUUUAGAGGAAGGAGAAGUCGUAACA
RNAcentral lists this ribosomal RNA (327 nucleotides) under uncultured eukaryote. RNAcentral describes it as "partial 18S ribosomal RNA". It matches the Rfam family "Eukaryotic small subunit ribosomal RNA", at positions 1470 to 1796 of the family's 1831-position model. The record is from RNAcentral.